This 476-nucleotide ribosomal RNA is filed under the name Gammaproteobacteria bacterium. RNAcentral describes it as "partial 23S ribosomal RNA". It matches the Rfam family "Bacterial large subunit ribosomal RNA", at positions 2453 to 2925 of the family's 2925-position model. Lineage: Bacteria; Pseudomonadati; Pseudomonadota; Gammaproteobacteria. The record is from RNAcentral.
CGGAUAAAAGGUACUCCGGGGAUAACAGGCUGAUACCGCCCAAGAGUUCACAUCGACGGCGGUGUUUGGCACCUCGAUGUCGGCUCAUCACAUCCUGGGGCUGAAGCAGGUCCCAAGGGUAUGGCUGUUCGCCAUUUAAAGUGGUACGCGAGCUGGGUUUAGAACGUCGUGAGACAGUUCGGUCCCUAUCUGCCGUGGGCGUUGGAAACUUGAGGGGAGCUGCUCCUAGUACGAGAGGACCGGAGUGGACGUACCUCUGGUGUUCCGGUUGUCACGCCAGUGGCAUUGCCGGGUAGCUAUGUACGGAAGGGAUAACCGCUGAAAGCAUCUAAGCGGGAAGCCCACCCCAAGAUUAGGUUUCCCGGAUCUUCGGAUCCCUGAAGGGCCCUUGAAGACUACAAGGUUGAUAGGCUGGGUGUGGAAGCGCGGCAACGCGUGAAGCUAACCAGUACUAAUUGCCCGUGCGGCUUAAACCG